RNAcentral lists this ribosomal RNA (451 nucleotides) under Streptococcus sp. oral taxon C14. RNAcentral's name for it is "bacterial SSU rRNA". It matches the Rfam family "Bacterial small subunit ribosomal RNA", at positions 30 to 472 of the family's 1533-position model. Lineage: Bacteria; Bacillati; Bacillota; Bacilli; Lactobacillales; Streptococcaceae. The record is from RNAcentral.
AUUGAACGCUGGCGGCAGGCUUAACACAUGCAAGUCGAACGGUAACAUAAAGAAGCUUGCUUCUUUGAUGACGAGUGGCGGACGGGUGAGUAAUGCUUGGGAAUCUAGCUUAUGGAGGGGGAUAACUACGGGAAACUGUAGCUAAUACCGCGUAAUAUCGAAAGAUUAAAGUGUGGGACCUUCGGGCCACAUGCCAUAGGAUGAGCCCAAGUGGGAUUAGGUAGUUGGUGAGGUAAAGGCUCACCAAGCCGACGAUCUCUAGCUGGUCUGAGAGGAUGACCAGCCACACUGGGACUGAGACACGGCCCAGACUCCUACGGGAGGCAGCAGUGGGGAAUAUUGCGCAAUGGGGGCAACCCUGACGCAGCCAUGCCGCGUGAAUGAAGAAGGCCUUCGGGUUGUAAAGUUCUUUCGGUAGCGGGGAAGGCAUUUAGUUUAAUAGAUUAAGUGA